This 380-nucleotide ribosomal RNA is filed under the name Triticum aestivum (bread wheat). RNAcentral's name for it is "partial small subunit ribosomal RNA". Lineage: Eukaryota; Viridiplantae; Streptophyta; Magnoliopsida; Poales; Poaceae. The record is from RNAcentral.
GCAGCGGCUGGGGUCUGGAUGGGAGCGAUGGUGUUGCUGGUCUUCUCUCUCCCUCUUCUCCACUCUGGUCCGAUGUGCGGAGACGGGUCAUUGAGGUGCCGUCGGCAGGGCAUGGAGGCGCCGGUGGCAGGGAAUGGAGGCGGGGAACGGGGGCGAUUCAUCUGUGUGCAGAUUAUUUGUACUUUCUUGCUGCUCUUUGUAUGGGAUCUGAUACAUCACUUCCUUUGUUUAUCCCUCAGUAAUCAAAAGUAUAAACCUCUGGUGCACAUAUAAAUCCAAUCCUGGGGCGACCAGUACUGCACUUCAGAAUGAAUUCUUGUGUGCAAUAUGGUAUAUGAGGGAUUUUGAUGUGUACACUUGGGGUUUUAAGCAAUACCUCG